GGGCCUGCACAAGCGGUGGAGCAUGUGGUUUAAUUCGAAGAUACGCGCAGAACCUUACCAACACUUGACAUGUUCGUCGCGACUCUAAGAGAUUAGAGUUUUCGGUUCGGCCGGACGAAACACAGGUGCUGCAUGGCUGUCGUCAGCUCGUGUCGUGAGAUGUUGGUUAAGUCCCGCAACGAGCGCAACCCUCACUUUUAGUUGCCAUCAUUAAGUUGGGCACUCUGAAAGAACUGCCAGUGAUAAGCUGGAGGAAGGUGGGGAUGACGUCAAGUCCUCAUGGCCCUUACGUGUUGGGCUACACACGUGCUACAAUGGUAUCUACAACAGGAAGCAAAACGGCAACGUUAAGCAAAAA
This 358-nucleotide ribosomal RNA is filed under the name uncultured bacterium. RNAcentral describes it as "bacterial SSU rRNA". It matches the Rfam family "Bacterial small subunit ribosomal RNA", at positions 917 to 1273 of the family's 1533-position model. The record is from RNAcentral.